AGUGAACGCUGGCGGUAGGCCUAACACAUGCAAGUCGAACGGCAGCACAGUAAGAGCUUGCUCUUACGGGUGGCGAGUGGCGGACGGGUGAGGAAUACAUCGGAAUCUACUUUUUCGUGGGGGAUAACGUAGGGAAACUUACGCUAAUACCGCAUACGACCUACGGGUGAAAGCAGGGGAUCUUCGGACCUUGCGCGAUUGAAUGAGCCGAUGUCGGAUUAGCUAGUUGGCGGGGUAAUGGCCCACCAAGGCGACGAUCCGUAGGUGGUCGGAGAGGAUGAUCCGAAACAUUGGAGUUAGAACACGCACGAGACUCCUCCGGGAGCGAGCAGCGGGGAUUUUUGUACAAUGGCUAAAAGUCUGAUCCAGCCUUACCGGGUGGUGGAUGACAGCUUUCUGUUUGUAAAGCUGUUUUUUGAGAGAACAAAGGCUGACGCUAAUGACCUUAAUGUUGAGAAGGCACCUAAAGAUUAAGCUCGGGCUAAUUUCGUG
This 492-nucleotide ribosomal RNA is filed under the name uncultured bacterium. Its description in RNAcentral is "partial 16S ribosomal RNA". It matches the Rfam family "Bacterial small subunit ribosomal RNA", at positions 29 to 507 of the family's 1533-position model. The record is from RNAcentral.